GGGGGAACUAACAUAUCAAUAAGCGGAGGAAAAGAAACUAACAAGGAUUCCCCUAGUAACUGCGAGUGAAGCGGGAAAAGCUCAAAUUUAAAAUCUGGUGGCCUUUGGUCAUCCGAGUUGUAAUUUAGAGAAGCGUCUUCCGCGCUGGACCGUGCACAAGUCUCCUGGAAUGGAGCGUCAUAGAGGGUGAGAAUCCCGUCUUUGGCACGGACCCCAGGGCUUCUGUGAUGCGCUCUCGAAGAGUCGAGUUGUUUGGGAAUGCAGCUCAAAAUGGGUGGUGAACUCCAUCUAAAGCUAAAUAUUGGCGAGAGACCGAUAGCGAACAAGUACCGUGAGGGAAAGAUGAAAAGCACUUUGGAAAGAGAGUGAAACAGUACGUGAAAUUGUUGAAAGGGAAACGCUUGAAGUCAGUCGCGUCGCCCGAGACUCAGCCUCGCCUCGGCUUGGUGUACUUCUCGGCUGACGGGUCAGCAUCAAUUUYGCCCCUCGGAUAAUGGCGAGGGAAAUGUGACACCUUUACGGGUGUGUUAUAGUCCCGCGUCGCAUGCGAGGGUCGGGAUUGAGGAACUCAGCACGCGCUUCGGCGUCGGGGCUUUGCCCACGAUACGUGCUUAGGAUGUUGGCGUAAUGGCUUUAAACGACCCGUCUUGAAACACGGACCAAGGAGUCUAACAUGCCCGCGAGUGUUCGGGUGGAAAACCCGUGCGCGAAAUGAAAGUGAAAGUUGGGACCUCUGUCGUGGAGGGCACCGACGCCCGGACCAGACCUUCUGUGACGGAUCUGCGGUGGAGCGUGUAUGUUAGGACCCGAAAGAUGGUGAACUAUGCCUGAAUAGGGUGAAGCCAGAGGAAACUCUGGUGGAGGCUCGUAGCGAUUCUGACGUGCAAAUCGAUCGUCAAAUUUGGGUAUAGGGGCGAAAGACUAAUCGAACCAUCUAGUAGCUGGUUCCUGCCGAAUUCCCCCUCA
This 966-nucleotide ribosomal RNA is filed under the name Russula sp. RNAcentral describes it as "partial 28S large subunit ribosomal RNA". It matches the Rfam family "Eukaryotic large subunit ribosomal RNA", at positions 27 to 975 of the family's 3401-position model. Lineage: Eukaryota; Fungi; Basidiomycota; Agaricomycetes; Russulales; Russulaceae. The record is from RNAcentral.